GUGUAAUUCGGAGAGCAGUCUUCAAACUUUUGCCGUAUUGACUCUGAGUUGUCAGGGGACUCAGGCUUAUGAGGAGGUACUGUCACAUAAAACAGUGUCUGGUGAAGACAACAAGAAAGAGGGGAAAGGAUCGGAAAAAGAAGCUAAAACACUGUAGGAAACCAUGAGAUCUAUUAGAUCUUUUGCCAAUGAUGAUCGCCAUGUUAUGGUGAAACAUUCAACAAUCUAUCCAUCUCCAGAGGAACUUGAAGCUGUUCAGAAUAUGGUGUCUACUGUUGAAUGUGCUCUUAAACAUGUCUCAGAUUGGCUGGAUGAAACAAACAAAGGCACAAAAACAGAGGGGGAGACAGAAGUGAAGAAGGAUGAAGCCACAGACACCUAUUCCAAGGAUCAAGGUGGUCGGACAUUGUGUGGUGUAAUGAGAAUUGGCCUGGUUGCAAAAGGCUUGCUGAUUAAAGAUGAUAUGGACUUGGAGCUGGUUUUAAUGUGCAAAGACAAACCCACGGAGACCCUGUUAAAUACAGUCAAAGAUAAUCUUCCUAUUCAGAUUCAGAAACUCACAGAAGAGAAAUAUGAAGUGGAACAAUGUGUAGAUGAGGCAUCUAUUAUAAUUCGGAAUACAAAAGAGCCCACGCUAACUUUGAAGGUGAUACUUACUUCCCCUCUAAUUAGGGAUGAAUUGGAGAAAAAGGAUGGAGAAAAGGUUGCGAUGAAAGAUCCUCCAGACUUACUGGACAGGCAGAAAUGCCUGAACGCCUUGGCGUCUCUUCGACAUGCCAAAUGGUUUCAGGCAAGGGCAAAUGGAUUAAAAUCGUGUGUCAUUGUCCUUCGUAUUCUGCGUGAUUUGUGCAACAGAGUCCCCACAUGGGCACCAUUAAAAGGAUGGCCACUAGAGCUUAUAUGUGAAAAGUCUAUAGGUACUUGUAAUAGACCUUUGGGCGCUGGGGAGGCCUUGAGACGAGUAAUGGAGUGUUUGGCAUCUGGAAUACUACUUCCUGGGGGUCCUGGUCUUCAUGAUCCUUGUGAGCGAGACCCAACAGAUGCUCUGAGCUAUAUGACCAUCCAGCAAAAAGAAGAUAUUACCCAUAGUGCCCAGCAUGCACUGAGACUGUCAGCCUUUGGCCAGAUUUAUAAAGUGCUGGAGAUGGACCCCCUUCCGUCUAGUAAGCCUUUUCAAAAAUACUCCUGGUCAGUUACUGAUAAAGAAGGUGCUGGAUCUUCAGCUUUGAAAAGGCCAUUUGAAGAUGGGUUAGGAGAUGAUAAAGAUCCCAAUAAGAAGAUGAAACGGAACUUAAGGAAAAUUCUGGAUAGUAAAGCAAUAGAUCUUAUGAAUGCGCUAAUGAGGCUAAAUCAGAUCAGGCCUGGGCUUCAGUAUAAGCUCUUAUCUCAGUCUGGCCCUGUCCAUGCCCCAGUCUUCACAAUGUCUGUAGACGUGGAUGGUACAACAUACGAAGCCUCAGGACCAUCCAAGAAAACAGCAAAGCUUCAUGUAGCAGUGAAGGUAUUGCAGGCAAUGGGAUACCCAACAGGCUUUGAUGCAGAUAUUGAAUGUAUGAGUUCCGAUGAAAAAUCAGAUAAUGAAAGCAAAAAUGAAACAGUGUCUUCAAACUCAAGCAAUAAUACUGGAAAUUCUACAACUGAAACCUCCAGUACCUUAGAGGUAAGAACUCAGGGCCCUAUUCUCACAGCAAGUGGCAAAAAUCCUGUAAUGGAGCUCAAUGAAAAAAGAAGAGGUCUGAAGUAUGAACUCAUCUCGGAGACUGGUGGAAGCCAUGACAAGCGCUUUGUGAUGGAGGUAGAAGUAGACGGACAGAAAUUCAGAGGUGCAGGUCCAAAUAAGAAAGUGGCAAAGGCGAGUGCAGCAUUAGCUGCCCUGGAGAAGCUGUUUUCUGGACCCAAUGCAGCAAAUAAUAAGAAAAAGAAGAUUAUCCCUCAGGCAAAGGGUAUUGUGAAUACAGCUGUGUCUGCAGCAGUCCAGGCUGUUCGGGGCAGAGGAAGAGGAACUCUAACAAGGGGAGCUUUUGUUGGGGCUGCAGCUGCUCCUGGCUACAUAGCUCCAGGCUAUGGAACACCAUAUGGUUACAGCACAGCUGCCCCUGCCUAUGGUUAAUACUUUUAAGCAGUUUUCAGCACGUUUAUCUCACUUUAUUCUCGUUCUCCUCGGACCUUCGUAGCCAUAUCACUUAUAUAAAAUAGGCUGAGAUAUAGUGACUGUAAGCUGUGCUCUCAGUAUACAAAGAUGAAAAAAAAAUGAGGCUGAGUUGAAUGCUGGAGUGCCAGAGCCUCUUUUCACUACACAUGCUAUGGCUUAAAAGUCUGGGGACGAAGAUGGGCGGCUGGUCGGGAGACAGGAAGGAGGUAUGCGCAGUGGGCAGGGCCCAGAGGAGCUGUGAGGGCCUAAACUAGCCGGGACUUUGCAGGAUCUUUUGAGCUCUCAGGCUUAGAAGCCACCCUAGUCUCCUGGGCUGGAAUAUAGGCUCUGUGUCUUGAUCUCAUUUUAGACAAGAUAUCCUGGUUGAAAAUAGAGCUGUUUUCUUUCUGACCAACUGAAAAAGAUUAUUUAACUAGCAAGAUAGACUUGAAGAGUAAGGUGUGGCUGUAUAAACUUGGUAGCUUGUUUUUAUUUGAAGAUCAAUGAGAAAUUGAGGCAUGUUUUCAUUGAGCUAAUUAAUGCUUUCUGAGUACACUCUGUCUGGCCUGAGGUUGGUGAUAUGUGUCAAAGACUUGAGCCAGGCUCUGAAGGAAGGCUGGUGAGGCUUUGACUCAGUGGGUCUCAGGAAGAGGGCCAUGGUCGGUGGUAGCCCAGGUUUGGGGUGGAAGUGUAGGGAGGUUCUUGAGCAAGUGCUAAGGGCAGACUGCAAUGGUUGGUUGUGAUAAGAGGGGCCUCCCCUGACUUGGGCUUUAGGGAAGCUGCCAGCCUUCACUCUAGGUGAGCCGUGCUGGAGGGGCGGACUCCCAUCUGUCUCUGAAUGGCUGUGUGAGUCUCUCUGCUGAGCUGGUCUGCUCGUCUGUGCUACAAAUCACUUCACCAGCUCCUUUGCUAAUGAAUGCCAACUGGGCUUCUGCUGGGGCUCAGUGGGUGUGGGAAUGGAUGCAGAAUCCUUGUUAGGGGAAGAUAUUCCUCGCUCACCCCAAGUCGUCAGUAUCCUUGGCAACUGGCCUUUUUCUGAUUACCUGCCAUUUCCUGGAGGGGAGCAAGAGGAAGGAACUUUCUUUUAAACCCAGGUUGUAGGAGGUCUAGAGCAGGGACCUGUGUUGAGGACGACUGAGUGCCUGCCAGUGUAGGGGCCAAUUAGCAAAGCUCUCCCCCAGUCACCACUGCCUGUCCUGCCCUCGAUCUGGAGAAUGCAUACGUAGGUCAUUCCCACGGCACAAACAGAAACGGAAGCCCAGAGACCUCCAAACCACCUAGCUUGUUUGUGGCACAUUUUGUGGCUCCCAAUUAGUGAGUUUUUAACCACGGAGAAGAAAUAACAUUCUUCUACUGUUUUUAAGUUAACAGAAGCACUUUCUUAGGGAUGGGAUUUGAGUUCCACCACGGUUGUGGGAUCUAGAAAUUUCCUUUUUACAGAUGAGGAAAUGGAGGCUUAGACAAAAUAACUUGCCCUAAAUUAUCCAGCUGGUAAGUGGCCAGGCCCUCCCAUUGGGAUUGCUCUGUGCCAAUACUGUGGUGUGCAUUACUGGUCCAGACUGCAGCCUGUCCUGAUUCCCAAGACCCCUUGGCAAGUCUCCUCUCCCAGGAUGUAUCACUUUACCUCUCUAGGUUUAAAAUAAAACAAGCAGAAGCCAACUCACUUCUUGCCUCCGCCACCCCUUUUGGGAGAAAAAAGAAUCCAGACGCCAGGCUCAACUAUGUGCUUGCUUGCUCCUGGACUGGUCGGUCUCAGGCCAAGAAGCCUGUGUGGGGUGUUUUGUUUUGUUGGUGCCAGCCGCACAGUUGGGUCUACUUCCACCGACGGCCUUUUUGUGCUGUAACUAAACCAGCACCUGCCAUGGGGAGCCCAGGCUUGGACGGCAGAGGGACGGCUGCUGGAGUAGACUUGUGCUUUCUUGUUUUGGCUUCCUCCGCGAUUCUGGGGGCUGACAUUUGCUCCUGGCUAGGUUUUUCUUAUGUGCGUGCACUAACCAAACGGGCCACCUUCACAGGAACACGCUUCCCAAGUGCUCUGAUGCUGGGCUCUCUUUGGACCUUUCCAUCAUAGAGCGUCAGAAAUUGCUCAGCUUGCCUAUAUCCUUCAUGCCCGUGGAGGCUACCGGACCACAGUGCCCGAUGAACUCAGGACGGCUGAUGGAGCCUUGGGAGCAGGUGUGGUGAGAAGCACACUCCAUGUUACAGAGUGUUUAAGCAAGAAGCCAACUGUUUGGCUGGUACAGAGGAAUUUUUUCCUACGGAAUGUCAGUGUGGACGGAGCGCUGGUGUGACUCUUGACAUUGACAAAAUCACUUCUCUCCUCUUGGGCAGGUGGAUUUAUUGGGAAACAUUCACUGUCACCUGGUCCUGUGUACCAGGCUCUGUUGUGGGGGAAAGGGAACAGAGAAAAUAACAAGAUUUUCAGCUUAGACAACUGAGUAGCAGGUGAGAGCACAAGACGGGGAAUGGUGUGCAGGCUCCCACUCAGUCCUGGAGAGGAGCCAGGCCUGUGGAGAGACGGACACGCAGCGAGAGUCAGAGGAGCUCUGGAACGUGGUGAGAUUUUAAGACAGGCAUGGCCUUCUGGGGACAGCAUGAAGGUCCUUGUCAGCAUGUUAACCACCCAGCCCUUUUGUCUUCUGGACCGAAAGUAUGUCACUCACCGGUGACUGGCUGGGCGCUUAAUGUGUUAAUGGAAGGGUUAAGUAGCAGGUGGGAUGUAGAGAGUAGGGCCAUUUGGUGAAAGGCCCUGGCUAUGCCCUUCAGUGAUUACCAUCUUCCAAAAUGGUGAGCAUUCUGGAGAGUCGAUUUGGAAGGAUUAGAGGCAGAAGGCAGAGGCUGUUGCAGAUGCCCAGGUGAGGGACGGAGGAGGCUGGCUGAGGCCACACAGGGGAGCAGAGGCAGAAAUGGUGUCUCUUCAUAGGCCAGGUUCUCUCAUGGACCGAGCAGAAAGGUAGGCUUGGCAGCACCCAGCCCCGGGCCAGGGAACCAUGUCCAGGGGAGCAGGUGCCUGCCCAAGCAUUUUUCCAGAGCCACUUGUCACUCGGUGACGGGACCCAAGAUGGGGAAGGUGAAGCAGGAAGAUGCUGACAAGGCAGAAGGGAGUGCAGGGGAAGGAGUUGGAACGUAGGAAGGGCCAUCUCCAUUGGGCCAGGAGUGGGGUUGCUCUCUUGGAAGUGUAUCUUUUAGCAACCGGUAGACAGGUUUGCAGGCUGGUCAGUCAGCAUCUUACUCUUUGCCUGAGUUUCUGCUCUGCUGGGCUCACCAGUCUAAGGGAAUGACAGGUACUGGGCAUUGGUUCACACAGGAACCUUGUGCUUUUUAAAAAGUGACAUUUUUGGUCUCUUUGCCAGGACAUGGGCUGGAGCUCAUUUAAUUCAGCAUCUGUAGGACAUGGUCUUCAGCCAAUGGGAAGGUGUCGACUUGUUUUACAGGGUGCUUUAAGGAGGGAAAGAAUGUGAAAUGGUACAGUUACUGGAGGGUUUGCUGUGGGCCUCAGGUCUGUGUCUAUCUUGGAUUCAUCCUGGACAGGUGGGCAGGGAGAGCUGAGGAGUCAGGGUGGGUGUCUGCCCUCUAUUUCUGUCGCUCUUUGGGACAUAGGGCUGGAGGCAGCUGUGGUUUGAGUCUUUAGGUCCGAGCUAUGAAAGGUCACUGGUGCACUGAUAUGCUGAUCCCAUUAGCCUUUGGGGGUAGCCAGGUGUCUGACUACAAGAGGCCUUUUUGUUUACUCCCCUGGGCCACAUGAUAUCGUCUCUUCUUUUAGUAUCUCAGUUUGGAAACAUAUGGGAACACUGCUUUUAGACAUGGUUUUGGAAAACUUUUUCUAUAAAGGGUCAGACAAUAAACCUGAGGUCUUGGGAACCAUUCGCUGUUGGAGCUAUGCAGCUCGGCCUUUGUAGCAAACGAGCCUGGCUGUGGCCCAACAAAUCCUACUUACAACAGAGGCACUGGUUGCUUUUGGCUCUUACACUGUAGACACCCUUUGGUUUAAUUCUGAUAGGGAACUUCCUGCCCUCUGCUGGGACUUACCCAGCUUCCUACAAAGGCUUCCUGAACACCUGAUCCGAGUGCGCACUGAGGACGAGGAGGGUGAGUCUUUGCCCCUGAGAAUCGCAGGUUUUAGGUGAGAGGUGGGCAGUGACGGCUCCAGAGAGAAGGGCCAGGCUGAGUCAGGAGAUCAGACUGUCCAGUCACCGGCGCGUUGGUGCAGCCUGUGAAGGACUGGGUGUUGGGCUUCAUUCUGCAGGUGGUGGGGAGCCAGUCUGAAAGGUUGUGCUCAGGACCGUCAGGUGAUCACAGAUGCACUUUUGAAACAUCACUCUGGUCGUGGUUUCCAACGCUAUCUUUUAGUUUAGUAUGGACAUUUCAGCCCAGGGUUUGGUUACUGUCAUCACCGGAGCAGGAAAGUGGCCCAGAGUUGCAGGGCGGUCCUGGCCACGGGCUUUAGUGGGCUAGAGUGGCACACUUCUCAAUAGGCAGAGAAUGAAAGUCUGUCCCAGUGCUGUGGUGUGUGGACAAAAGUAUCUAGGGAAGCCCAUCCCUUGCUUCAGAUGGAGUUAUGUGGCAAGAAAGCUUAAAGCUUCAAGAAGCUGAUUCGCACCCACUGUGCAUGUAGCUAGGCCUGCGACCAGCACAGAGAGGGUGGUGUCUGUACAAACUACUGCGGCAAGGUGCGUGUGUGCAGGUUGAAGCAAGUGCUGCUCAGGUGGAUCACAGAUGGCUCGAGGCCGAGGCACACUAGACCUGGUGCUCACUGUAGUUGGGGUGGCAGAGAAAACCCUAAAUGUAUAUAGUGCUCUCUACUCCUAAAGUAUUCUCCCUCAGAGAGGUUUCUAGGCAAGUAAAUUGAACUGCCACCAUUGCCCUUUAAUGGGUACUGGAAUGGGGGGUGCUUUAUGUGUGGUGACAGGAGCUGUCAUGAAAGGAGACCUAAUAGCAGUGCCUGCAGAUACUGUUUUAUUGAAUCCUCAACAGGCCUGUGGCAGUAGGUGAGGAGCCUCGGAGAGGGAGGUGGCUCUCCCAGUGCAGCCUGCAGACACACUGGUCCUCUGGCCAAUCAGGUACACUUGUCAGUGGGUGGCCUUCCAGGCCCUGGGAGGGUGGUAGGAUGUCUGGGUAGGAAACCACUGAACACUUGGGGAACUGGAUGCUGGGAGUGCAAUAAUGCUUGGGGAUGUGCCUCUUGAAUUUUGCUGCCCGGUCUUAUCUUUGAGCAGCACUCCUUGUGUUUUCUAAAGGCGUUUCUGGGCUCGUGGGAGAGAGAGGUGAGGCUCUCAUCAGGCAGCUCAGCCUGUGCUGUGGUUCUGGAGUGUGAGGCCCACACCUCAUUUUCCUGCUUAGGGAAGCAGAUGGUGGUCAGAAUGGUUUUUUUCCUGCCUAAAUAUUUCUGCUGUUCUGAGAUGUCAGGUUUGUUUUGUUCAUGGCAGUGAAUUUAGGGCUAGCAGUUUAGAAGUAUGCAGCCUCUUUCCCCCUCCUCUGGGCUGAGCACUGCUCCCAUCCUCAAGAACUGGGUUCCUGCUGCCAUAAACACCCCUCGGACUUAAGACAAGCACUUUGGUUUGGUGGGUCAGUAGCCAGACACCCUGACAUGUUCUCUCACCUGACGAGCCACCACUAGACACAUCCGUUUCCCUGGCCAUGAAGGCUUGUACCACAACUUCGUGUAAGGGACCACGUGCAUGGCCUGUUCCCUUGCUCACUUAAUGUGGUUGUUUCUCAGCAGGGGGCCCUGCCAUGGCUCUGUGGGAGGUGGAAACAACUUUUUGUGGAAACAACUGGGGAGCCAAACUGCAGGCAUCCUCAAAGCCUCUAAUCAGGGGUCCGUCCUUUCUGCAUCUCCCCGGAAUCCAGGCUGUCUUGUGAGCUAUCUCCAAUCUCCAGCCAGACUUCCUUUCCAGGGGCUUGAAAUGGGAUUCUCCUCCCUGCUUCUGUCCUUGUCUCUCUUCUAAUGAGUCAUGAGCCACCUUCCUUGGCAGAUUUCAGCCCUUAGCAGUGUUCACUGUUUUCUCGGAACUCAGGCCUUGCAUCAGGGGCAUCUGUUGUUGGUCUGUUGUGAACCCUCGGUCUCUGUAAGGGGCUGGUUGGGUCCUAAUGAGGGGGAGGGCACUUUGAGGAAAAGUGGGGCUGGGCUUGGUCCAGCCUAUCAGCCUCACACCCUGCGCAUCCUGGUCUGGCCUCUAAGACUUGCUUCUUGCCCACUCCAUGCAGAACUCCUUGGGGAAAAGGCAGCCAGUCUAGACCUGAAGCUCUGGGCUGUUCUAGAAGAGGCUUGCUUGCCUCACAAAAGCAGUAAGGUGCUCAGCCCCAGGGGUGGGGGUCCUGGAGAAGACUGAGCAGUUACCACAUGACACUGGGCUCCUGGCUGUAGUUUACUCUCACUCUGGUCUGGUGGUGGCCAAGGCAAUUUUAGUAAUCUUAUUUAAAAUACCUAUUUAUUGUGUGUGUAAAUAGUAUAAUUUGCAGUGCAAAGCCCUUGGCAAUAACUUUGUUGUGUAUUAUGUUAAAAAAAAACACUGAAAAUCGCGAGCACCACGGAUUGUCUUUCCCCUUGGGGCAGUGGUUACAUGUAGGACUCUGAACUUGAACCCUUCGGCACAGCUGAAGCAGCAGCCUGCGUGUGUGGACUGUCAACAGUGCCUCGUCCAGAGAUGCCUGCCCUUCAUCCACAGGGACUCUGUGCCCACUGACUGUGUUGGACUCUGCAUAGACUGACCCUCUCGUCUGGCUGCUGCAGUCUGCCGGAAUGCCCUGACAUGUUGCAUUUUCCCCAUUUGGAUGAAUAAAAAUAAAAGCUUCUGUCUUAA
Myotis davidii is the source of this 8934-nucleotide RNA transcript. It is a transcript of the gene named spermatid perinuclear RNA binding protein, with no coding region annotated. Lineage: Eukaryota; Metazoa; Chordata; Mammalia; Chiroptera; Vespertilionidae. The transcript is spliced from 18 exons. The record is from RefSeq and is a predicted model, not a curated record.